UGGGGAAUAUUGCACAAUGGGCGCAAGCCUGAUGCAGCCAUGCCGCGUGUAUGAAGAAGGCCUUCGGGUUGUAAAGUACUUUCAGCGGGGAGGAAGGGAGUAAAGUUAAUACCUUUGCUCAUUGACGUUACCCGCAGAAGAAGCACCGGCUAACUCCGUGCCAGCAGCCGCGGUAAUACGGAGGGUGCAAGCGUUAAUCGGAAUUACUGGGCGUAAAGCGCACGCAGGCGGUUUGUUAAGUCAGAUGUGAAAUCCUCGGGCUCAACCUGGGAACUGCAUCUGAUACUGGCAAGCUUGAGUCUUGUAGAGGGGGGUAGAAUUCCAGGUGUAGCGGUGAAAUGCGUAGAGAUCUGGAGGAAUACCGGUGGCGAAGGCGGCCCCCUGGACGAAGACUGACGCUCAGGUGCGAAAGCGUGGGGAGCAAACAGG
RNAcentral lists this ribosomal RNA (429 nucleotides) under Chloroflexota bacterium. RNAcentral's name for it is "Chloroflexi bacterium partial 16S ribosomal RNA". It matches the Rfam family "Bacterial small subunit ribosomal RNA", at positions 355 to 776 of the family's 1533-position model. The record is from RNAcentral. Lineage: Bacteria; Bacillati; Chloroflexota.